Molecule: long non-coding RNA, 1224 nt
Filed under: Canis lupus familiaris (dog)
Lineage: Eukaryota; Metazoa; Chordata; Mammalia; Carnivora; Canidae
Description: lncRNA (ENSCAFG00845009345.1)
Source: RNAcentral
GGAUAUUCCUAUUAGGAUAAAAUUAGUUUAAUCUAUUUUAAAUCUAAUAAUGGAUUAAGCCAAAGGGACAUUAUAAAUAAUAUGGAAAUACACAAUUUUUGUCCAAAAUUUACCUGCUUCAAAUAAACUUUUACACUCUUCAACUUCAGGUCUAGUGUUCUAAGAUUAAGUUCAAGUUGUUUCAUUUCAACUUCUUUACUAUAUUGCUCUUUACUUGUUAAUUGCUCCCUACCCUUUUCAUAUAACGUAUCAGCACUUUUUCUUUUUUCUUGUUCUUGUUUUAAGGUCAAUCUGCAAAUGCAUGUGUUCAUUUUAAAAUUUGUUUUGUUAGCAAUAAAAAGCUUAUUUUAUAAUCUGGUUCCACAUAUGUUUCAUUAUCCAAAUGAAAUUUUUCUAUUGUCAAUUUUUUUUUCCUUUCUAGGGCUUCGGUUGUUAAUUUCUCACUUCAAUCUCUCCCAAAUAUAGUUGAAAAGAGGCAAUGAGAAAGCAUUAUGUCACUUAGUAAGGUUUAGUCAGUAAUAACUCUGGUAAAUGAUGGAAGGAAAGGAAUUCUGAAAUUAUUUGGGGAAGUUAGAGUUGAAAAUUACCAUUUCCCCACAUAGUCGUAAGUAUUCUUCAAUUAGGACAGAUCACUGAGUUACUAAUUAAAAAGAAGUUGCUAUUUAUCAACAAGUUUAUAAAUUCACUAGAAAGAUUUUUACUUGACAAAAUGUCACAGGUACCUCUAAAAAUGAUCUGCAGUGUAAGACGGCAUCAGCAGAUGACUGUGAUCCAGCACUAGACUAGGGAGUCUAAUAUCUAUUGCCCCAUACUUUUUAUGUUUCUUCUCCAAUAUUCUCAACCUUGCUGAUUAUUAUACAUUUUACAUCAUUUGAAAACUUCUCUUAGAACACAGGAUCCAUAUUAAGUAAAGAAUAAAAAGUAAUAUGUGCUUUCAGCAUAGAUUUUUGAAUUAAUUUUCUUUAAAUAGGAGAGAAAUGUUGGAAAAGCUUAACCAUUAAUCAUUUUCCUUUUUGCUUUUUAAUCCCUACAUAUGCUAAGAAAAAACCGAAGUUAAAAAAAAUUUUCUGGGGAUCCCUGGGUGGCACAGUGGUUUGGCGCCUGCCUUUGGCCCAGGGCGCGAUCCUGGAGACCCGGGAUCGAAUCCCACGUCGGGCUCCCGGUGCAUGGAGCCUGCUUCUCCCUCUGCCUGUGUCUCUGCCUCUCUCUCUCUCUGUGUGACUA